GAUGAACGCUGGCGGCGUGCCUAAUACAUGCAAGUCGAGCGAACAGACGAGGAGCUUGCUCCGCUGACGUUAGCGGCGGACGGGUGAGUAACACGUGGAUAACCUACCUAUCAGACUGGGAUAACUUCGGGAAACCGGCGCUAAUACCGGAUGAUCUAUUGAACCGCGUGGUGCAAUGGUGAAAGUCGGUUUUGCUGUCACGUAUCGCUGGUUCCGGGCCGCAUUGGCUGGUUGGUAAGUUAACGGCUUACCAAGGCGACGAGGCGUAGCCGACCUGAGAGGGUGAUCGGCCACACGGGAACGGGACCAGGGUCCAGACUCCUACGGGAGGCAGCAGUAGGCAAUGUUCCGCAACGGGCGAAAGCCUGACGGAGCAACGGCGCGCGAGUGAUGAAGGUGUUCCGAUCGUAAAACCCUGUUAUUAGGGAAGAACAAAUGUGUACGUAAAUAUGCACGGAUUGACGGUACCUGAUCAGAAAGCCACGGCUAACUACGUG
This 497-nucleotide ribosomal RNA is filed under the name uncultured bacterium. RNAcentral's name for it is "partial 16S ribosomal RNA". It matches the Rfam family "Bacterial small subunit ribosomal RNA", at positions 28 to 507 of the family's 1533-position model. The record is from RNAcentral.